CGUAGAGUUUGUAUCCUGGCUCAGACUUGAACGCUGGCGGCAUGCCUUACGCAUGCAAGUCGAACGGUAACAGGUCUUCGGAUGCUGACGAGUGGCGAACGGGUGAGUAAUACAUCGGAACGUGCCCGAGUCGUGGGGGAUAACGAGGCGAAAGCUUUGCUAAUACCGCAUACGAUCUACGGAUGAAAGCGGGGGAUCUUCGGACCUCGCGCGGACGGAGCGGCCGAUGGCAGAUUAGGUAGUUGGUGGGAUAAAAGCUUACCAAGCCGACGAUCUAUAGCUGGUCUGAGAGGAUGAUCAGCCACACUGGGACUGAGACACGGCCCAGACUCCUACGGGAGGCAGCAGUGGGGAAUUUUGGACAAUGGGCGAAAGCCUGAUCCAGCCAUGCCGCGUGCAGGAUGAAGGCCUUCGGGUUGUAAACUGCUUUUUGUACGGAACGAAAAGCCUCUUUCUAAUAAAGAGGGGUCAUGACGGUACCGUAAGAAUAAGCACCGGCUAACUACGUG
This 509-nucleotide ribosomal RNA is filed under the name uncultured Diaphorobacter sp. RNAcentral's name for it is "bacterial SSU rRNA". It matches the Rfam family "Bacterial small subunit ribosomal RNA", at positions 1 to 507 of the family's 1533-position model. The record is from RNAcentral. Lineage: Bacteria; Pseudomonadati; Pseudomonadota; Betaproteobacteria; Burkholderiales; Comamonadaceae.